GACGAACGCUGGCGGCGUGCUUAACACAUGCAAGUCGAACGGAAAGGCCCUGCUUUUGUGGGGUGCUCGAGUGGCGAACGGGUGAGUAACACGUGAGUAACCUGCCCUUGACUUUGGGAUAACUUCAGGAAACUGGGGCUAAUACCGGAUAGGAGCUCCUGCUGCAUGGUGGGGGUUGGAAAGUUUCGGCGGUUGGGGAUGGACUCGCGGCUUAUCAGCUUGUUGGUGGGGUAGUGGCUUACCAAGGCUUUGACGGGUAGCCGGCCUGAGAGGGUGACCGGCCACAUUGGGACUGAGAUACGGCCCAGACUCCUACGGGAGGCAGCAGUGGGGAAUAUUGCACAAUGGGCGGAAGCCUGAUGCAGCAACGCCGCGGGCGGGAUGACGGCCUUCGGGUUGAAAACCGCUUUCGCCUGUGACGAAGCGUGAGUGACGGUAAUGGGUAAAGAAGCACCGGCUAACUACGUG
RNAcentral lists this ribosomal RNA (468 nucleotides) under uncultured bacterium. RNAcentral's name for it is "partial 16S ribosomal RNA". It matches the Rfam family "Bacterial small subunit ribosomal RNA", at positions 28 to 507 of the family's 1533-position model. The record is from RNAcentral.